GAAACCUUCAAUUAUUUGCUCCCUCUGGGGUACCGUGCAUCAUUCUUCUGAGGGUAUUUUUAGCCUACAACAAAGUUGUCUUUAUUCUGCAGUUCCUUAAUCCCUUUUUCUUCUGAUACUCUGGGAAACAAAACAGUAGCUGUUCUCAGAGGAAUGCCUGGAGAAUUACAUUAAUUCAGAAAACAAGAGAUUCACCAUGUAGUUCUGUGAUCUAAAUGGAAUGAGAAGGUCACACUGUACCUAUUCUUAAAUUGCAUCGUUUGCUUCUCCCAUUGUUACUUGCAUUUUAUGCAGACUCUUACUUGUGCCAGUUAGCUACAAAUUUGGGACUGUAGUCAGUCCACUGCUCCUCCAGAUAGGCAAAAUCUACUGCAUUAGCUCUAAUAGAGUCCUUUGCAAGCUUGACCUAACCUGGUCAGGAUCUGUUCUGAUUGAAUUGUAAAGCCUGUUAUGUCUCUUGCUGUACAUUUCUCUUGCUGCUAAAGUCUUCAUGUUUAGUCGGAUAUACUAAUUCUUCCACGAUCCUGGCCGUCUCAGCCCUACCAUCGGUCUACCCUUUGAGGUGUUUGGGAUUUAACAAAAAUGAACUACUUCUCUUGCCCAUGGAUUACCGGCAUGACAACAAGGCUCAUUAUUUUCAGAAGCUUGUGACUAUGUGGGAGAAUUUAUAUGUACUUCUGUGUGAUGAAGAAUUGGAUGCAGUCUCUUUGGAAGCUGUGCACCAACAAAAGAUGAAGAAUAGACAAGCCCACUCUUCAUCAGCUCUCUAUUUUAAUAACAUGUAACGAAGAAGGGGGAC
This 799-nucleotide long non-coding RNA is filed under the name Pan paniscus (pygmy chimpanzee). RNAcentral's name for it is "lncRNA (ENSPPAG00000045297.1)". Lineage: Eukaryota; Metazoa; Chordata; Mammalia; Primates; Hominidae. The record is from RNAcentral.